RNAcentral lists this ribosomal RNA (464 nucleotides) under Vreelandella stevensii. RNAcentral describes it as "partial 16S ribosomal RNA". It matches the Rfam family "Bacterial small subunit ribosomal RNA", at positions 338 to 795 of the family's 1533-position model. The record is from RNAcentral. Lineage: Bacteria; Pseudomonadati; Pseudomonadota; Gammaproteobacteria; Oceanospirillales; Halomonadaceae.
CCUACGGGUGGCUGCAGUGGGGAAUAUUGGACAAUGGGCGAAAGCCUGAUCCAGCCAUGCCGCGUGUGUGAAGAAGGCCUUCGGGUUGUAAAGCACUUUCAGUGGGGAAGAAAGCCUUGGGGCUAAUACCCUCGAGGAAGGACAUCACCCACAGAAGAAGCACCGGCUAACUCCGUGCCAGCAGCCGCGGUAAUACGGAGGGUGCGAGCAUUAAUCGGAAUUACUGGGCGUAAAGCGCGCGUAGGCGGUCUGAUAAGCCGGUUGUGAAAGCCCCGGGCUCAACCUGGGAACGGCAUCCGGAACUGUCAGGCUAGAGUGCAGGAGAGGAAGGUAGAAUUCCCGGUGUAGCGGUGAAAUGCGUAGAGAUCGGGAGGAAUACCAGUGGCGAAGGCGGCCUUCUGGACUGACACUGACGCUGAGGUGCGAAAGCGUGGGUAGCAAACAGGAUUAGAUACCCUGUAGUC